Molecule: transfer RNA, 73 nt
Organism: Staphylococcus massiliensis S46
Lineage: Bacteria; Bacillati; Bacillota; Bacilli; Caryophanales; Staphylococcaceae
Rfam family: tRNA
About the family: Transfer RNA (tRNA) molecules are approximately 80 nucleotides in length.
Source: Rfam
GGGGGAUUAGCUCAGCUGGGAGAGCGCCUGCUUUGCACGCAGGAGGUCAGCGGUUCGAACCCGCUAUUCUCCA